CUCAUCUGUAACCCAGCAAACAUCUGUCACACAGCACACAUCUGUCACCCAGCUCUCAUUUCUCACCCAGCACACAUCUGUCACCCAGCUCUGAUGUCACCCAUAUCUCCUCUGUAAUCCAGCUCACAUCUGUCACACAGCACACAUUAGUCUCCGAGCACACAUCUAUCACCCAGCUCUCAUCUGUCACACAACUCACAUGUUUCACCCAGCUCUCAAAACUGUCACCCAGCACACAUCUGUCACCCAGCACACAUCUGUCACCCAGCUCUCAUCUGUCACCCAGCACACAUCUGUCACCCAGCUCUCAUGUGUCACCCUGCUCUCAUCUGUCACACAGCUCUCAUCUGUACCCAACUCUCACUGUCACCACAGAUCUCCUCUGUCACCCAGCUUCAUCUGUCUCCCAGCACA
Molecule: long non-coding RNA, 414 nt
Filed under: Cricetulus griseus (Chinese hamster)
Lineage: Eukaryota; Metazoa; Chordata; Mammalia; Rodentia; Cricetidae
Description: lncRNA (ENSCGRG00015030792.1)
Source: RNAcentral